RNAcentral lists this ribosomal RNA (441 nucleotides) under uncultured bacterium. Its description in RNAcentral is "partial 16S ribosomal RNA". It matches the Rfam family "Bacterial small subunit ribosomal RNA", at positions 338 to 795 of the family's 1533-position model. The record is from RNAcentral.
CCUACGGGUGGCAGCAGUCGGGAAUAUUGCGCAAUGGAGGAAACUCUGAUGCAGUGACGCCGCGUGUAGGAAGAAGGUUUUCGGAUUGUAAACUCCUGUCGUCAGGGAAGAUAAAAGACUGUACCUAAGGAGGAAGCCCCGGCUAACUAGGUGCCAGCAGCCGCGGUAAUACAUAGGGGGCAAGCGUUAUCCGGAUUUAUUGGGUGUAAAGGGUGCGUAGACGGCAGAACAAGUUGGUGGUGAAAUCCCUCGGCCCAACCGAGGGACUGCAAUCGAAACUAUUCGCCUGGAGUGGAGGAGGGGAAAGUGGAAUUCCUGGUGUAGCGGUGAAAUGCGUAGAUAUUAGGAGGAACACCAGUGGCGAAGGCGACUUUCUGGACGAUAACUGACGUUGAGGCACGAAAGUGUGGGGAGCAAACAGGAUUAGAUACCCGGGUAGUC